CGCCAGGUGUCACUGUAGGCGUUCCUGCUGAUUCAAUUUGCGCCGGUGCCGUUCGGAGCAGUGUCGUGCGGUGAAAGUGGGUGAAAUAUUGAGGAAGUAGUGGGUCACAUGUGUCAUAAUACCUAAAUUUGGAAGAAAAUGGCCCAGUGUAGUGUCUAUGGCUGCUCGGAGAAUGGUGAGUUUGUAUUUUCUCGCGACAAGAGGCCGAGGAAGAUAGAUAUGGCUCAGGCUGCAACGGAUUUCAUCCCACCAAACACUUGAUUGUGUGUCGGAAGCAUUUCACCGACGAUGAUUUUUUGGAAAAUACUGCCUACGGUACAAGAAUGGGCUCAACAGGCAGAGGAAAUGGAGAAGAGUGCACCACCUCCACCAAACGUUGCUGCUUAUGAAGAGUGCAACACUGAAGGGGGGUGUGCUGCACCACUGCGGGGCUAUCUGAUGGUGCUGUCAAUAUCAGCACCAGGCAGGGUUCAAUGUCCAAGAUCUGUUAGCCUGUUGUGAUGUACGUGUCAUAACACCAGCGUUCCUUAAAGUGAAGUCCCAGCUCUCU
This 550-nucleotide long non-coding RNA is filed under the name Amphibalanus amphitrite. RNAcentral describes it as "uncharacterized LOC122394542". Lineage: Eukaryota; Metazoa; Arthropoda; Thecostraca; Balanomorpha; Balanidae. The record is from RNAcentral.